UACGUAGGGUGCAAGCGUUGUCCGGAAUUAUUGGGCGUAAAGAGCUCGUAGGCGGUUUGUCGCGUCGGCUGUGAAAACUCGGGGGCUCAACCCUCGAGCCUGCAGUCGAUACGGGCAGACUGGAGUACUGCAGGGGAGACUGGAAUUCCUGGUGUAGCGGUGGAAUGCGCAGAGUAUCAGGAGGAACACCGGUGGCGAAGGCGGGUCUCUGGGCAGUAACUGACGCUGGAGGAGCGAAAGCGUGGGGAGCAAACAGG
RNAcentral lists this ribosomal RNA (257 nucleotides) under uncultured bacterium. RNAcentral's name for it is "partial 16S ribosomal RNA". It matches the Rfam family "Bacterial small subunit ribosomal RNA", at positions 524 to 776 of the family's 1533-position model. The record is from RNAcentral.